GUCUAUCCAUUUUGUGCAUCACAAUAUGAGAAACAUGCUUUCAACAAAUAAAUGCUUACUGGGAAGUAUUUUUAUUAAUACUAUUUUACUUUUUCAGCACAAAGUCAAAACAAAGAUGAGAAGGACAAGGAACUUAAGGCAUUAAAAUGGAAGCGGAGGAAGCCUGACGGAAAGAAACAAAAACAAUCUGCUGCUGAGCAAGAAAAGAAACGAAUGAAGCAAAUAAAACGACCCUGGUCCAAAGAGGAAGUAAACGCUGUCAUGAGACACUUCAAGGACCAUAUAAUGAAGGGAAAACUUGCUUCCAUGAUAGAAUGUGGGCAGUGCAAAAAGGCAGAGAAUCCUGUUCUUGACAACCGUACCCUACAGAACAUCAGAGACUUUGUGAGAAAUCGUGGUAUUACCAUGAAAAACAAAAAGUAACCCAGCGAACAUUUCCAUAUGGCCCAUAUGAUUUACCUUUGGGCUGAAUAUCUGGGCCCCGGGUGGGUUUGUCCACGAGUUCCGUGGUGACCCCAUCUGUGUUUGCACACACUGGCUUAGAAGGAAACUCAGUGGUCUGAGUUCCCAACGCUAACCAGCUGCUCUGUGGAAAGCAUUGUGUGCCAACAACCUGCCUUACGGAUAGUGUAGCGAGUUAGCGAGCUACACUGUCUAGCGAGCCAGAUUACUCAGUGCCCAUUCAAGCUAGUGUGGGCAAACACAGAUGGGGCCACUGUGGAACCUGUGAACAAACCCACCUGGGGCUCAACAAUUCAGCCCAAAGGUAAGCCAUGUGGGGCUCACAUUCAAAUGUUUGCUAAAUGAAGAUUUUUGAUAUAUAGUAUAUAAAAGUAUGAAUAAGCAGUUAAGGCUUAAAUUUUGUUUUUUUGUUCAGUUGUCAAAAGGUUAUUUCUUUAUUUGCCUUUACAUUAGAAAGAAUAUAAUUUUGAAGUAAGGACUUAUGGCUAUGUAGUUUUUUUCUGAAAACUAUCUUUUACAUUAGACAGAACAUUAACAAUAAAUAAGCACUAGAUUCUUGAAUGUUUUUCCAUUUAAAACUGCAUAUUCUUGUCACCUUUUUGACAAGACUAAGUUUUUUUCAACAUUUUUGCUGUAUUUGCUUUUCAUUUCACAAAUAGAACUGUCAUAAGCAUUUAAAUGUACUUUUUUAUGUUUAUAAAAACAAUGAUUACAGUGAACUACACAGUAUAAAAGUUCAAUAAAAGGAUUUUUGGGUGGGAGGACCCAUCAAGGUCGUUGGGUCCUUUGAAGUCACGUUUUAGACAUGUUUGUGUGUUUGUAUACUGUGGACCUCAUAAAUACUCUUUUUGUCAGAGGCGGGGCUAAUGGAGCUCAUUAAAGUGUCCUGGUAAUGUUG
Non-coding RNA from Oryzias latipes (Japanese medaka), 1360 nucleotides. NCBI's taxonomy places the organism in Eukaryota, Metazoa, Chordata, Actinopteri, Beloniformes, Adrianichthyidae. The record is from RefSeq and is a predicted model, not a curated record.